GGGGUGGGGCUGGGAGGGGAGCCUGUUGGGGGCGGCGCGUCCAGCUCUGGGCCAGGGGGUCCAAAGUGCUCAGCCCCCGGGGCACAGCAGGACGUUUGGGGGCCUUCUUUCAGCAGGGGACAGCCCGAUUGGGGACAAUGGCGUCUCUUGGCCACAUCUUGGUUUUCUGUGUGAGUCUCAUCACCAUGGCCAAGGCAGAAAGUCCAAAGGAGCAAGACCCGUUCACUUAUGACUACCAGUCCCUGCGGAUCGGAGGCCUCAUCAUCGCCGGGAUCCUCUUCAUCCUGGGCAUCCUCAUUGUGCUCAGCAGAAGAUGCCGGUGCAAGUUCAACCAGCAGCAGAGGACUGGGGAACCCGAUGAAGAGGAGGGAACUUUCCGCAGCUCCAUCCGCCGUCUGUCCACCCGCAGGCGGUAGAAACACCUGGCGCGAUGGAAUCCGGCCAGGACUCCCCUGGCACCUGACGUCUCCCACGCUCCACCUGCGCGCCCACCGCCCCCUCCGCCGCCCCUUCCCCAGCCCUGCCCCGGCAGACUCCCCCUGCCGCCCAGACUUCCAAUAAAACCUGCUGCAGCGCGCCUUCGCCGCCAAAGCAUCCAGCAGCCCCCUGCUCCGGCCCAGCAUGGCGACCCCGACCCAGACCCCCACAAAGGCUCCUGAGGAACCUGACCCAUUUUACUACGACUACAACACGGUGCAGACUGUGGGCAUGACUCUGGCAACCAUCUUGUUCCUGCUGGGUAUCCUCAUCAUCAUCAGUAAGUGUGACCCGUCCCUGGGCUGCCUGGGCCUCCGGUUCCUCUGCUGGCUUUCGUGCAUAUCCUACACCCUAUGUCCUGUCUUCUUGUUCUGUCUCUCUCUCUCCCAACAGGCAAGAAGGUGAAGUGCAGGAAGGCGGACUCCAGGUCUGAGAGCCCAACCUGCAAAUCCUGUAAGUCCGAGCUUCCCUCUUCAGCCCCUGGUGGCGGCGGCGUGUAACACCUGCCCGAGGAACCUCCGCUGCCGACCCUGUCUGAGCGCGGGAGCCUGAGGACCGGGUGGAGGCGGUGGGGACCCAGCCGCGCGCCGGGAGCGCUCCCCGGAAUGAGCCGCCCCACCCACCCCAAGGCUGGAGCCGCUGCACCCUGCUGUCCCUCCCCAGGCCUUGGCAAUGAUGAUCCCCCAAAGAGCCCGUCUGCACCCCAGACCCGGGGCCUCAGGCCUCCAGCUCCUGGGAUCCGGGAGUCCAUCCCGGCCCAGCCCCGCCAGCAUCCCCGUGUACGGUCCCCCUGCACCUCCUUGUCUCAUCCCCGAAGAUCCGUCCCCCUGGGCCCUCAGUGUCCUUGUCUUGAGCUUAAUAAAUGUGCAUUUGGUUUUUUC
This is a non-coding RNA of Macaca mulatta (Rhesus monkey), 1358 nucleotides long. NCBI's taxonomy places the organism in Eukaryota, Metazoa, Chordata, Mammalia, Primates, Cercopithecidae. The record is from RefSeq and is a predicted model, not a curated record.